AACCCUAGCCGAAGUCGACCUAGUUCCGCGAGAGAGCUCCGCUUUCUUUCGGCGUUCUCAGAAAUGGCGAAGUCGAAGAACCACACGGCUCACAACCAGUCCUACAAGGCCCACAAGAACGGAAUCAAGAAGCCCCGGAGGCACAGGCAAACCUCCACCAAGGGGAUGGAUCCGAAGUUUCUGAGGAACCAAAGGUACGCGAGGAAGCACAACAAGAAGAACGGAGCGUCGGGCUCUGAAGCUGAGGAGUAGAGCAUGGAAUAUGGGAUGGGGUUUCUUUUAGAAUUGUCGCAAACUAGAGUUUUGUUCUAAUUCCACCUCUAUAUUGACUCUUGAAGUCUUCUGAAAAUUGUGUGCUAACGUUUUAUUUCUACUUGAUAUGCACUACCAGCUGAUACUGUUGACUUGUUUCAGCCAUUUUUUUUUUGCUACGUUUUAGUUACAUAUUUAAUCUUCGCACUGUGCCAAUUAUCUUUUUGUUUAUUUUUUUAUGGAUCUGAUAAGUUUGAGUGCCAAA
This is a long non-coding RNA of Elaeis guineensis (African oil palm), 517 nucleotides long. RefSeq annotates it as large ribosomal subunit protein eL29z. Lineage: Eukaryota; Viridiplantae; Streptophyta; Magnoliopsida; Arecales; Arecaceae. The record is from RefSeq and is a predicted model, not a curated record.